AUUGAACGCUGGCGGCAUGCUUUACACAUGCAAGUCGAACGGUAACAGGCCGCAAGGUGCUGGCGAGUGGCGAACGGGUGAGUAAUGCAUCGGAACGUGCCCAGUCGUGGGGGAUAACUACUCGAAAGAGUAGCUAAUACCGCAUACGAUCUAUGGAUGAAAGCGGGGGACCGUAAGGCCUCGCGCGAUUGGAGCGGCCGAUGUCAGAUUAGGUAGUUGGUGGGGUAAAGGCUCACCAAGCCAACGAUCUGUAGCUGGUCUGAGAGGACGACCAGCCACACUGGGACUGAGACACGGCCCAGACUCCGACGGGAGGCAGCAGUGGGGAAGUUUGGACAAGGGGCGCAAGCCUGAUCCAGCAAUGCCGCGUGCAGGAAGAAGGCCUUCGGGUUGUAAACUGCUUUUGUACGGAACGAAACGGCUCUGGUUAAUACCCGGGGCUAAUGACGGUACCGUAAGAAUAAGCACCGGCUAACUACGG
This 481-nucleotide ribosomal RNA is filed under the name uncultured bacterium. Its description in RNAcentral is "partial 16S ribosomal RNA". It matches the Rfam family "Bacterial small subunit ribosomal RNA", at positions 29 to 506 of the family's 1533-position model. The record is from RNAcentral.